GGGUCCGUGAUGACUAGCCCACUGCGCAAUCUGAGCAGUGCCUCCCUUUUUGGAGUGCCCUGCUGGAGACAACUGUGCUGAUUAAAGCCUGAGACCC
Molecule: non-coding RNA, 97 nt
Organism: Syngnathus acus (greater pipefish)
Lineage: Eukaryota; Metazoa; Chordata; Actinopteri; Syngnathiformes; Syngnathidae
Product: small Cajal body-specific RNA 18
Exons: 1
Source: RefSeq, a predicted model, not a curated record